CUGGCUGCUGUUUUUGUCUUCCAAUACGCUUUGGGCCUGACAGGGUGCCUUGAGGCGGCUCCUGCCAACUCCCAAAGAGAGAAAGUAGCCCUCACGGAGACCUUUUGUUUGAAAAGAACAUGGAGGCCAGGCAUCGCUCGCUGAUUGACUUGCAGGUAAGGAUGGAAGUUUCUCAUUUUUCUAAUCUUAAGUUUUCCACAUUUUCACACCAGUUCAUUGUUGUUGUUUUUCAGAAGGGGGGUGGGGAGUCUUCAUGGAAAUUUAUCAGCAUUUGAGUACAAAUUUCUCCUAAGACACAUUUUUAAGAGCAAUUUCCCCAAUGCAAUUCAUUUUUUUAUUAUGCUUCCACUAACAUAUAUAUUUUAAUGCACAUUUUACCUCAGAAUAUGCAUUUUUUUUACACAUCUCAGCUUGAGAGCUGCAUUGCAAAAUCCAGAGAACUGCACAUUUUCAAAGUUGACCGUGUUUUUGUUUUGUUAGGGUGGUAAACUUUUAGAUGAGAAAUGAAUCUACAAUACAAAUCGGCACACAUCUCACCUACCCCAAAGCCAGCAACAUAAAAUCAAUAUAAAGCUAUCAUAAGAAUUUGCAAAUGGAAAAGAUAUUUGGUGCGAGUCUUUUCAGAACAGCAAGAAUGCAUACCUGUCAUAAGUUGAAAGGUUUGGGGAAGUGAAAAAUGCCUUCACUGGCACCUAAAAAUUCAUAACAUAAGCACCAGUCAAGUCUAUGAGGAAGCUAUUCCAGAAAUUACUCCAGUCAUAAUAUGGUUCGAUGCCAAACAAAUUGUUGAAGAAACAAACCUGUAUUAUUUAAUUAGUACAAGCAAUAUAUUGUACAUAUGAAAUAUAGAGAAGCUAUAAUUAGGGAAACAGUUCCAUAAAUAAAAGUAAAAGAAUGUAGACAAAAUAUUAGGAAGAACUUGAUGAAGUUUGAGCCAUCAGUUGAUAGAACAGAAGGAAAUGGACACUUUUUCACUGAAGCAGAGGCUGGCGGGAAGGUUGCAUUCAGCUGUUUUACUCAGAGUAGAUCCACGGAAAUUAAUGAACAUGACCAAGCUAGGUCAAUUAAUUUUUAUAAGUCUACUCUGGAUAAAAUUUAGCUCCUGGAUGGCAAACUUCAAUGGGCUUCCUGCAUUGGGAGAGGGAUGGGCUCAGGACCGUUGAGGUCCUUUUCAACUCUAUAAUUGUAAAGGUGGUGUCUCCCCUUCGCAGUAACUCUGGCACAGUCAGCUUGGUAUUUACAGUAUUUAUUACAUAUGUACAAGAAACAGCUACAGUUCAGAAUUAUGCAUCCAAACCCAUUGAGUCAGAUUCAGGGAGUGGCUUCCUUCAAUUCCCGCGCCAAUAAAGUAGGCAUGGGAAUCGCGCGAGACAUCUUUGAUGCUUACUUUUCAUUUCCUUCCUUGUCUGUGCUGAUGUGAAAGCAACCUCCCUUCCAGAGUCUGAGCUCCCUUCCCGAGCCUCUGGGUGGUUGAAGAGCUCCACAGCAUCCUGAGCCCCUGCUCCGCCUCUUCUGUCACUUGCUCCUUCGAAUUCUCUCUGACAAUAAUUCUACAUAAGGGCAUUGUUAGAGAGGGGCCCAUGCCCCUGGUCUUUUGGACUGGGCCCCAUAUCUCAUGUCCCAUCAUAUAUAUAAAUAAUCUACAGACAUACACACUUGCAGAGCUGAUGCAUUUGUCAUGCAGAUUUGUUUCAUAGUCAUGUGCCCUCUUUUAAAUACGUAUAAAUGUCCCUGAUUCUAUGACUGGGCUGGUCCAGCAGUGGCCCUGGCAGUCAACAAUCUACUAGAUUAAUGGUCUUCAACAGAUGAGCCAGGACCCACUACUAAGUUGCAACAUGACCUAAGGUGGGUCACAACAGCCCUAAAGACAUGGUAAAAAAGAGAAGUGGGUGUCCAAAUGCACAUUUGGGUUAAAGGUGGUCCUGGGUCUGCAAAGGUUGAAGACAACUUUAAGCUACAACAGCAACCCAAUAGGUGUGCAGGAUACAUUGCAGGACUUCUGCAGAGCAUAUACAGGUCCAAUGUACAACAGUUCCUGUCAAAUUCACAACCGCAAAACUACACAAAGCAAUAAAGUUAAGUUAACAUAAAUAGUAAAGGAGGUACUUGGUGUCUUAAUUCAUGAUAAAUCACCCAGGUGGUUUCAUGUUAGCUUUUCUGGAUCUGUGCCUACGGAGAAUGAUGGUGUGUGCGAAGUGUGAUGUCACUACUUUCCAUAUAUAUAUAUGGUGAUUAAUCUUCAUCAGGCAUGCUUUUACAAAGCUCCCAGUGAAGCAAUGCUCUCAACAUUACAUCAGUAAUUUUUAAUCCUGAUUGUUUCAGUUGCCCUGGAGAACUCACAAAAUUAAGCCGUUACAAUGCUAGCCCAAUCAUGUACAGAAUUUGUUAAUUGCCAUAUACAUACUGUUAUUGCAUGCAUGCAUGCAUUCAUACAUACAUACAUAACAAGUAUGUGGCAUGGAAAUCAAGUAGCUGCAUAUUCAGAUUAUUUAGUAAUGUGCCCAUGCAACUGACAUUCACAAAAACAGCCCAAAUGAGCCUGCAAUAUAUAUGUGUGUGUAUAUUAGCAAUCUGUUUGGGAGGCAAGCACUCUGAGGCAUGCACAGAGCUCCCCAGCCAGAGUGCUGUUCUUUGGAGAGACCACUCUGCAUGCGUCCCCAUUCAUUUCAGUCUAGGAACAUCAGCAGACACAAACCAACGGGGAUGUUAUAUAGCAGUAAGAGGUGCACACUUAGAUACACACACAUCAAACUCUAGAUUGUGGUGCAUGUGUUCAAUUUGACAUCAAUAUUUACAAGUUUCAAGGAGCAAAGAUGUUGCCUUUAUUUUAUUAUUGCUUUCUAGUUACAGGCUCUUCUUGAUAUCUCUGGGUACAAAAACACUUGAUAUGUAUUUGUUGCAACUCACCCUGCUCUACAGAGCCAAGAUUUAUCCAGCUCUCCUAGCCUCUAUCUCUGUAUUGAAGCCUAUGAGCUAAUACAGAAUACGGAAUAGUAUUUAGGUGAGGAAAAGUGGAGUGCUGCAUCUCUCCCAACAUUGAAUUGCAGGAAUCUGCUGAAGGAAGGCAAAGGUUUCUCUCUCACACACACCUUCUCUCUUCUGCUAGCUUCCAGCAGUCUAGGAUUUUUAUUUGCUGCUGGCCAUAAACUUGUGUGGACUUUUAUUUUUAUUAACAAGGCUGCAAUUUUGUAUUGUGGGCCCCACUGUCAUCCAGGGUUUUGGUGUUUCAGCAUAGACAAACAGCCACAGUGUCUUUUGACCUCUUGCCUUCCCUCAACUUACCAGUUGUCUUGCAGCUGGGUGCUGAAAAUGUCCCAUUUGUGAAAAUUGCCUAAUUUUGCAAUGUAUUCUUCAUCAUGCCUUUUGAAGAAAAAUGUAAUGGCAGCUCCUUUAAUGAAUGUAAAUGUUUCUACAGUCUGAUUCUUUUUGAAAGCUGUGCAUGUCAUCACCAGAUACACCUGUUUUUUCCUGUCAGCUUUUGAUGGCUGGCACUGCACCAAAACAGCAUUCUCUGAAUGUGUCUGGGAUCUUCUCAUAAACAGCGCUGAGAAAUGAAUGACCCCAAAACACCUGUGCCCUACAUUUUUGACUCAGGCACUUCAACUUUUUAAAUAUAUACAUACUUACAACAGUAUGCUGGGUCUCUUACUACUAAAGUGCCACUUUAGAUAUUUGAAGUUCAUAAAGAGGAAAGGGAUCAAUUUCCUCCAGGAAAGGGACCUGUUCUGUUUGAGAACCACAUCUGAAAUGGCAAACCUGAGUAGCAGGUACAGAUGGGCAAAUCGGUCAGUUCCGGUUUCUCAUUUUUUCACAAUCUUCAGGUCCAUUCUCUACAUUUCCACAUCAGUUUGAGAAAUUUUUUUUUUUAAUGUCCUCAUGAAAACUCACUAGCAUUUUAGUGUGACUUUCUUCCAAUGUACACAUUUUUGUGAAACAUUUCCACUAAUAUAAUAUAUGUUUGUGUUACUUCCACUAAUAUAUGCAAUGAUAUGCACUAUAUGCCUUUUUGUAUACAUUAGGUGGCUGGAGAACUGCCUUGCAAAAUUUGGAGAAGUGUGAAUUUUGAACAGUGGCUGUGUUUUUGUUCAUGUAUUGUUUUGGACAGUGAAUUAGGUAAGUAAGCUCACCUUUGAAUGUAAGAUCCAUCAAAUUUCUCUUCUAGCCCCAGUUACAACAUUUUAACAUGUACAAAGAUGGUAGUAAUUGAUGCUUAGUUAUGCAAAAUGCACAGAAACAUCAAAUUAACCUGUAAUAAAUUUCUAUUGGAAUUACAAGAAUAUUUAAGUUUGUUAGGAAGAGAACAUAGCUUGGCACACACCUUGGCCUUUUCAGCCCUCCAAAUUGGACUUCCAGGAGCAUCACUAGGCAUAACGCAUGAAGUUCCAUGUCCCGUUGUAGCAGGCACAGCAAUCCUAUAGUGGGGGAGCUACCACCGCUUUCAAAAUGCUUCCAGCUUCUUUGAAGUCAGUGUGUGUGAGGUAGCUUUCCCCCACCCUGCAUUUUUUUGAAACCAUGUUUUCCUUUCCACUUUCAUGAAUGAGAGAAAAUUAGCUACAUCAGUCCCAACUAGCAUAAUUGAAGGUGCUUUUGGGGGUUGUGUGUGUAUGUGUUGGCAUGACUGCCAUCAUCCAGGCCCAGUUCAAGGUGUUGAUGUUGGUGUUUAAAGCCCUAAAUGACUCAUGCCCCAAAUAUCUGAAGGACUGCCUCCUUCCCUACAGAACCUCUCAGGUGCAGAGAUCAGCAGGGGGUGCCUGUUGGUAGUUCUUGUCCCUCAGAUGCUCAGGGGGUACUGGCCUGAAGGAGGGCAUUAUCUGUGUCAGCCCCUAAUGCAGAACUCCCUGCCCAUAGAGGUGUGUCUGGCACUUUCAUUGUACAGCUUUCAAAGAAUGCUUAAGACGCACCUCAGUCUUUAUCCUGGCUUUUGAAACAUGGAAGUAGUUUAUAUUGUGUUUAUAUUGUAAGGUCUUCUGGACAGGGGCUUGCCCUCCUAUACUUUGUAAAGCACUGGGUGCAUUGAUAUAUAAACAAAUAGAACAACACCAACAAGAACUAGAACAAAAGCCCUGCUUCUCUCCCCCAACUCAACGUGAAACCAUUUUCAAGUCUUUACCACUAGAAGUGGCACUGAAUCCAUGUUUUUAAUGGAAGGUCCAGUUCUUAGAAAGAAAUAACACAUUAUAAGGCGGGGUUUCACAUUUUAUGGUAUAAUUGUGGGGAGUGAUUCCUAGGGCUGCAAACGCAUGGCAGCAAACUGUCAGAGAUGGACAACCACAGAACUUGCACAUCAGCAAUCAAUCUGUUGAAUCAGAGCUAGUCAGGAAUCCGGCUCCUGUUAACAGAAUUGUACAAAUGAUGAGGUGUGCAAAUGAAGGAAAGCCUGUUCACAUAUAUACGUACAUUCUUGGGAGCCAGAAAUGGUUCAAAGUCUAUUCCUGAACCAGAUUCUGUCUUGUAGUUCUAUCUACUAUUCUUGGCCCUCCAAAGUCAGUCAGAACUAAUAUAGAGAUUCAGUCAAGCUACAACCCCCACCCCCCACAACACACACACAAAUCCUUGUUUGUGGGUCAGAGUUGGUUUUCUCUGCCUAAUACCAGCAGCGAGCAGUCUUGAUGUGGUCCAUUUCUGAGAGAUAUAAUGAUACCACCAAACCAGCAGGACUGGAUGCACAUAAUGAAAUGUGACAAUGUGCUCAUUUGUGAAGAGUAUAAGAGAGCCUGGGUAGUUAGAGCAACAUUUGCAUAAUCACAUUAACUUUCAGGACCCAACAAUGGCUUCCAUUGUCAAAAGCCACAGCUGUCCAUGCUGAUCCGACACGAAAUUGAGUUGUGCUGUCACAGAGCAAGCAUCUUCACAGCCAUUCAGAAUCCAAAUGUGGAAAUCAGAGGGCGGGAGAAAGUAUGACAGCUCAAUGGAGCUUUGCUUUCCAGGAACACCU
Non-coding RNA from Podarcis lilfordi (Lilford's wall lizard), 5935 nucleotides. Lineage: Eukaryota; Metazoa; Chordata; Lepidosauria; Squamata; Lacertidae. The record is from the annotation of a GenBank genome assembly.